UACGUAGGGGGCAAGCGUUGUCCGGAAUCAUUGGGCGUAAAGAGCUCGUAGGCGGUUUGUCGCGUCUGCUGUGAAAACCCGAGGCUCAACCUCGGGCCUGCAGUGGGUACGGGCAGACUAGAGUGCGGUAGGGGAGAUUGGAAUUCCUGGUGUAGCGGUGGAAUGCGCAGAUAUCAGGAGGAACACCAAUGGCGAAGGCAGAUCUCUGGGCCGUAACUGACGCUGAGGAGCGAAAGCAUGGGGGAGCGAACAGG
This 254-nucleotide ribosomal RNA is filed under the name uncultured bacterium. RNAcentral's name for it is "partial 16S ribosomal RNA". It matches the Rfam family "Bacterial small subunit ribosomal RNA", at positions 524 to 776 of the family's 1533-position model. The record is from RNAcentral.